ACAGUACAAACUGAGCAGACCGUGAUUUUGGAGAUCAUGGAGUCGGGUCACAGAAGUGACAGUGGAACUUUUACAUCCACGGGACAGU
Molecule: non-coding RNA, 88 nt
Filed under: uncultured Agathobacter sp.
Lineage: Bacteria; Bacillati; Bacillota; Clostridia; Lachnospirales; Lachnospiraceae
Description: NiCo riboswitch
Rfam family: NiCo (Nickel/Cobalt) riboswitch aptamer
Source: RNAcentral